This 492-nucleotide ribosomal RNA is filed under the name uncultured bacterium. RNAcentral describes it as "partial 16S ribosomal RNA". It matches the Rfam family "Bacterial small subunit ribosomal RNA", at positions 29 to 507 of the family's 1533-position model. The record is from RNAcentral.
AGUGAACGCUGGCGGUAGGCCUAACACAUGCAAGUCGAACGGCAGCACAGUAAGAGCUUGCUCUUACGGGUGGCGAGUGGCGGACGGGUGAGGAAUACAUCGGAAUCUACUUUUUCGUGGGGGAUAACGUAGGGAAACUUACGCUAAUACCGCAUAUGACCUACGGGUGAAAGCAGGGGAUCUUCGGACCUUGCGCGAUUGAAUGAGCCGAUGUCGGAUUAGCUAGUUGGCGGGGUAAAGGCCCACCAAGGCGACGAUCCGUAGCUGGUCUGAGAGGAUGAUCAGCCACACUGGAACUGAGACACGGUCCAGACUCCUACGGGAGGCAGCAGUGGGGAAUCUUAGGCAAUGGGCGAAAGCCUGAUCCAGCAAUACCGCGUGGGUGAUGAAGGCCUUCGGGUUGUAAAGCCCUUUUGUUGGGAAAGAAAAGCAGCAGGUUAAUACCCGGCUGUUCUGACGGUACCCAAAGAAUAAGCACCGGCUAACUUCGUG